CUGGUGUGCAACGGGCUGGCGUGCACCGGCUGCGGGUGUGCACGGGCUGCGGGUGUGCAACGGCCUGGUGUGCACUGGCUGCGAGUGUGCAACAGCCUGGUGUGCACUGGCCGCGAGUGUGCACUGGCCUGGUGUGCAACGGCCUGGCGUGCACCGGCUGCGGGUGUGCACGGGCUGCAGGUGUGCAAUGGCCUGGUGUGCAACAGCCCGGCAUGCAACAGCCUGGUGUGCACGGGCUGCGGGUGUGGACGGGCUGCGGGUGUGCAAUGGCCUGGCGUGCACCAGCUGCGGGUGUGCACUGGCCUGGUGUGCAACAGCCCGGUGUGCAACAGCCUGGUGUGCAUGGGCUGCGGGUGUGCACGGGCUGUGGGUGUGCAACGGCCUGGUGUGCACGGGCUGCAGGUGUGCACUGGCCUGGUGUGCAACAGCCAGUGUACACAGGCUGCAGUGUGCACGGGCUGUGGGUGUGCAACGGCCUGGUGUGCACGGGCUGCAGGUGUGCACUGGCCUGGUGUGCAACAGCCAGCAUGCACAGGCUGCAGUGUGCACAGGAUGUGGGCGUGCAAUGGCCAGCGUGCACCAGCCUGGUGUGCAACAGCCAGCGUGCACAGGCUGCAGUGUGCACGGGCUGUGGGUGUGCAUGGGCCGAUGUGCAACAGCCUGGCGUGCGCUGGUUGCGAGCGUGCAUGGGCUGUGGGUGUGCAGAGGCCAACGUGCACACGGCCUGGUGUGCACAGGCUACAGGCGUGCACAGAUGGUGUGCUACAGCUCUUGUGCACUCACAGUCCAUGUGUGUGCAUGGCCCUCGUGUGUGCAUGGCCUGUGCACACGCGCAGCCCUCGUGCACGCGUGGUCCUCGUGUGCACACAGUCCCUGUGUGUUCCUGUGCACACUUGGUCCUCUUGCACACACGGCCCUGGUGCACACGCAGCCAUCACGUGCACACGCAGCCCUCGUGCACACGCAGCCCUCGUGCACGCACAGCCCUCGUGCACGCACAGCCGUAUGUGCUCAUUUGUGCUGGUGCACACGCAGCCCCUGUGCACGCACGGCCCUUGUGCACCUGCAGCUCUUGUGCACACGCAGCUCUUGUGCACACAGAGCCAUAUGUGCUCCUGGGGCGUUUGCACGCACAGCCCUUGUGCACCUGCGGCUCUCGUGCACACGCAGCCCUCGUGCACGCCCAGCUAUAUGUGCUCACGGGCUGUUUGUACGCACAACCCUUGUGCACACGCAGCCCUGGUGCACACGCAGCUCUUGUGCACGCACGGCCCUGGGGCACACGCGGCGCUGGUGCACACACGGCCACGUGUGCUCCUGGGCUCUCGUGCACACACGGCCCUGGGGCACACGCAGCCCUCGUGCACAUGCAGCGCUUGUGCACACACGGCCACGUGUGCUGCGGGGCCCUUGUGCACACGCAGCCCUUG
RNAcentral lists this long non-coding RNA (1430 nucleotides) under Dromaius novaehollandiae (emu). RNAcentral's name for it is "lncRNA (ENSDNVG00000000896.1)". Lineage: Eukaryota; Metazoa; Chordata; Aves; Casuariiformes; Dromaiidae. The record is from RNAcentral.